Molecule: long non-coding RNA, 1211 nt
Filed under: Equus caballus (horse)
Lineage: Eukaryota; Metazoa; Chordata; Mammalia; Perissodactyla; Equidae
Description: lncRNA (ENSECAG00000045866.1)
Source: RNAcentral
UCCAUUUAAUUCCUCAUGACAAUGCUACGAGGUAGACAUUGUAUUUAUCCUUUCUAUGAAUGAAGGAGAUUAACUCAAGAGAUGAGAUCAAGAGAUUAAGCAAUUCGAAGACACACGCUUGUGAGCGGUCAGGACAGAAUUCAAAUCUAGGCAGUACACCUUACAUCCCGUGCUUUCUCUUAAGUGCUGCUGGUUGCACUAGUCGUAUCAGAGAGAUUUUUCCUUGUCUUUGCUCCCAAAGAGCAUCAACUCAUGGAGCAGGAAUGUCCUUGUUUAUUUUUGUAUCCCCAGAACCUACUGAAGUGCCUGGCCCCAGAUAGAUACUUAAUAAAUAUAUGAUGAUUGAAGAAGUGUUUGGAACAAUAGCAUAUAAGGAAGAUCAAGGAAUCUCCUAGUGUAAUUGAAUUGUAUGGUCGGAAGAAACCUUAGAGUCUAUGCAGGCCUGAGGAUGUUUAUCCUGGAGAAAAGAUUUAGAGAGAGUAUAAAAAGUGUCUUCAAAAUAUUUGAGGAUCUGCCCGGUGGAGGAAGGGAGACACAUUUCCUGGUGCUUCCAAGCGAUGAGCCUCAGCAGCCUUCUGGAAAAGGAGAUGGGAGAGAAUGCGUAUAGCUGGAAAAAAAGUGUAGAGCAAAUGACAAAAAGCAAAACUCAGCAAAUCUUCAGUCUGCUGGGACUAAGUAGAUGACAGAGUGAAAAAGGCUUGGCUAGGCAAGGUGGAAAAACUGACUUACAGGAAGGCUGAUGUUAGCUGACAAUAAGGAAGAACUUCUCCACCCUCCAGGGAAGGUGCAGCGAGCCACUUCCCGCUUGCUUUUGGGCGGAGUCCGAUAUUGGGUUGUGGGAUUGGACUGAAGUUCUCUAAGUCUCUUCAAGUUCUAAGAGCUCCAUCUGUCUGUCUUCUCUGUUCAAUCUCUUUCCCCUGCCUUGGCUUCUCCCUCCAGAGUCAUUUGGUCCCUAAAGAAACAGACCCCUUGUCUCCGGGCCCCUGAGCCCUUCCCAAGCUCAUACAAAAUGGCCACCGGCAACGGGCGCUGUGGCGUUCUGGCCGGCUCUCCCUUCUCACCAGAGGCUCUUACUAUCCCAACCUCCCCCAGCUGCUGGUAGUGUUGGAAGCUGAUGGCUCACGGCUGAGUCUCUCUCUGGAAAUUGCCCUCAACAGAAGGAAGCUGCCUUACCCAAGGUUUCAGCCCUUCCCAGGGGCGGCCUCAAUCAA